This 1021-nucleotide ribosomal RNA is filed under the name Porphyromonas gingivalis. Its description in RNAcentral is "bacterial SSU rRNA". It matches the Rfam family "Bacterial small subunit ribosomal RNA", at positions 28 to 1041 of the family's 1533-position model. Lineage: Bacteria; Pseudomonadati; Bacteroidota; Bacteroidia; Bacteroidales; Porphyromonadaceae. The record is from RNAcentral.
GAUGAACGCUAGCGAUAGGCUAACACAUGCAAGUCGAGGGGCAGCAUGAUCUUAGCUUGCUAAGGUCGAUGGCGACCGGCGCACGGGUGCGUAACGCGUAUGCAACUUGCCUUACAGAGGGGGAUAACCCGUUGAAAGACGGACUAAAACCGCAUACACUUGUAUUAUUGCAUGAUAUUACAAGGAAAUAUUUAUAGCUGUAAGAUAGGCAUGCGUCCCAUUAGCUGGUUGGUGAGGUAACGGCUCACCAAGGCGACGAUGGGUAGGGGAACUGAGAGGUUUAUCCCCCACACUGGUACUGAGACACGGACCAGACUCCUACGGGAGGCAGCAGUGAGGAAUAUUGGUCAAUGGGCGAGAGCCUGAACCAGCCAAGUCGCGUGAAGGAAGACAGUCCUAAGGAUUGUAAACUUCUUUUAUACGGGAAUAACGGGCGAUACGAGUAUUGCAUUGAAUGUACCGUAAGAAUAAGCAUCGGCUAACUCCGUGCCAGCAGCCGCGGUAAUACGGAGGAUGCGAGCGUUAUCCGGAUUUAUUGGGUUUAAAGGGUGCGUAGGUUGUUCGGUAAGUCAGCGGUGAAACCUGAGCGCUCAACGUUCAGCCUGCCGUUGAAACUGCCGGGCUUGAGUUCAGUGGCGGCAGGCGGUAUUCCUGGUGUAGCGGUGAAAUGCAUAGAUAUCACGAGGAACUCCGAUUGCGAAGGCAGCUUGCCAUACUGCGACUGACACUGAAGCACGAAGGCGUGGGUAUCAAACAGGAUUAGAUACCCUGGUAGUCCACGCAGUAAACGAUGAUUACUAGGAGUUUGCGAUAUACCGUCAAGCUUCCACAGCGAAAGCGUUAAGUAAUCCACCUGGGGAGUACGCCGGCAACGGUGAAACUCAAAGGAAUUGACGGGGGCCCGCACAAGCGGAGGAACAUGUGGUUUAAUUCGAUGAUACGCGAGGAACCUUACCCGGGAUUGAAAUGUAGAUGACGGAUGGUGAAAACCGUCUUCCCUUCGGGGCGUCUAUGUAGGUGC